RNAcentral lists this ribosomal RNA (622 nucleotides) under uncultured bacterium. RNAcentral's name for it is "bacterial SSU rRNA". It matches the Rfam family "Bacterial small subunit ribosomal RNA", at positions 86 to 731 of the family's 1533-position model. The record is from RNAcentral.
CUUUCUUUAGUGGCGGACGGGUGAGUAACGCGUAAGAAUCUUCCCUUUAGAGUGGUAUAACCAUUGGAAACGAUGGUUAAUCCCGCAUAUGAGAGUAAUCUUGAAAGGUAUAGCAAUAUAUCGCUAAAGGAUGAGCUUGCGUCUGAUUAGCUAGUUGGGGAGGUAAUGGCUCACCAAGGCGAUGAUCAGUAGCUGGUUUGAGAGAACGACUAGCCACACUGGGACUGAGACACGGCCCAGACUCCUACGGGAGGCAGCAGUGGGGAAUUUUUCGCAAUGGGCGCAAGCCUGACGGAGCAAUACUGCGUGGAGGAUGAAGGCUCGUGGGUUGUAAACUCCUUUUCCUAGAGAAGAAAACAUUGACGGUAUCUAGGGAAUAAGCAUUGGCUAACUGCGUGCCAGCAGCUGCGGUAAUACGUGGAAUGCAAGCGUUAUCCGGAUUUAUUGGGCGUAAAGCGUCUGUAGGUUGCUUCGCAAGUUUGCUGUUAAAUUGUUCGGCUCAACCGAAUCCCAGCAGCAAAAACUAUGAAGCUCGAGUGUGGUAGAGGAAAAAGGAAUUCCCUGUGGAGCGGUGAAAUGCGUAGAGAUAGGGAAGAACACCAAUGGCGAAAGCAUUUUUCUG